AACUGGGCUGAAAUGAAAAUUGUGUAAAAUUGUGUUGUGAGAUGCCGGAUGAGCUCCACAUCAUUGAUGUGCUAGUUGGUUAUAGAAAUAAAUUCUGAAGGUUUUUCAUCUUUAAAUUAUUCUGACAGAUUGUCACUGCAGACAAUUUAAUACUACAUCUAGAGAAAAUUUAUAUUAGAAUCGAGUGAUUAAACAAUCUCUAGCUGCAUGCUUUGAAAUUGAUAUCACGUUGUGCGUGGUAAAGUGCAGAACAUAUUGCAUUUUCAUAUUCAUCCUAUUCUAUAUUUGGUUGUUUGCGCAUGCCCGAACCAUUAGGCACAUGGAAAUUCAUGGUUACAAAUAUGGUGAUGGUGUAUUAGUGAUCAAGUUCCAAUAACACAAAAAAUAUUGAUUGAUCAUAUGACUGACUUUUAUGAUUGAUUAAAUUAUCAUCUUUUGAAAUCAAUCAAACAAAUCAACUAUGCAAUCAAUCUACAAACUGUGUUUUACCAGGCAUUUCUAAUCUCACCACGGAUGAUAGUUCAUCAGCCUGUUUUGUUGUCUCAACACCACCAUCACCAUGGACCAGAAAAAUCAAUUGUUAAAGUAAUACACAAGUAUUUUCUCAUCACUUUCAUCUUGUUCAUAAACGUUAAUAAUCGCACGCUAGUGCACAUCUAAUAA
Long non-coding RNA from Lytechinus variegatus (green sea urchin), 663 nucleotides. RefSeq lists it as uncharacterized. Lineage: Eukaryota; Metazoa; Echinodermata; Echinoidea; Temnopleuroida; Toxopneustidae. The transcript is spliced from 2 exons. The record is from RefSeq and is a predicted model, not a curated record.